Molecule: ribosomal RNA, 492 nt
Filed under: uncultured bacterium
Lineage: Bacteria
Description: partial 16S ribosomal RNA
Rfam family: Bacterial small subunit ribosomal RNA
Source: RNAcentral
AGUGAACGCUGGCGGUAGGCCUAACACAUGCAAGUCGAACGGCAGCACAGUAAGAGCUUGCUCUUACGGGUGGCGAGUGGCGGACGGGUGAGGAAUACAUCGGAAUCUACUUUUUCGUGGGGGAUAACGUAGGGAAACUUACGCUAAUACCGCAUACGACCUACGGGUGAAAGCAGGGGAUCUUCGGACCUUGCGCGAUUGAAUGAGCCGAUGUCGGAUUAGCUAGUUGGCGGGGUAAAGGCCCACCAAGGCGACGAUCCGUAGCUGGUCUGAGAGGAUGGUCAGCCACACUGGAACUGAGACACGGUCCAGACUCCUACGGGAGGCAGCAGUGGGGAAUAUUGGACAAUGGGCGCAAGCCUGAUCCAGCCAGACCGCGUGGGUGAAGAAGGCCUUCGGGUUGUAAAGCCCUUUUGUUGGGAAAGAAAAGCAGCAGGUUAAUACCCCGCUGUUCUGACGGUACCCAAAGAAUAAGCACCGGCUAACUUCGUG